This 433-nucleotide ribosomal RNA is filed under the name uncultured bacterium. RNAcentral's name for it is "partial 16S ribosomal RNA". It matches the Rfam family "Bacterial small subunit ribosomal RNA", at positions 29 to 507 of the family's 1533-position model. The record is from RNAcentral.
AACGAACGCUGGCGGCAUGCCUAACACAUGCAAGUCGAACGAGACCUUCGGGUCUAGUGGCGCACGGGUGCGUAACGCGUGGGAACCUGCCCUUAGGUUCGGAAUAACUCCCCGAAAGGGGUGCUAAUACCGGAUAAUGUCUUCGGACCAAAGAUUUAUCGCCUUUGGAUGGGCCCGCGUUGGAUUAGCUAGUUGGUAGGGUAAAAGCCUACCAAGGCGACGAUCCAUAGCUGGUCUGAGAGGAUGAUCAGCCACACUGGGACUGAGACACGGCCCAGACUCCUACGGGAGGCAGCAGUGGGGAAUAUUGGACAAUGGGCGAAAGCCUGAUCCAGCAAUGCCGCGUGAGUGAUGAAGGCCUUAGGGUUGUAAAGCUCUUUUAACCGGGACGAUAAUGACAGUACCGGGAGAAUAAGCUCCGGCUAACUCCGUG